UGAGCAAUCUGCCCUUCUCAUCGGAAUAAGCGCUGGAAACGACGUCUAAUGCCGAAUACGACCUCCUUUCGCAUGAUCGGAGGUGGAAAGCUCCGGCGGAGAAGGAUGAGCUCGCGGCCUAUCAGCUAGUUGGUGUGGGUAAUGGCCCACCAAGGCGACGACGGGUAGCCGGCCUGAGAGGGUGACCGGCCACACUGGGACUGAGACACGGCCCAGACUCCUAGGAGG
This 228-nucleotide ribosomal RNA is filed under the name uncultured bacterium. RNAcentral describes it as "partial 16S ribosomal RNA". It matches the Rfam family "Bacterial small subunit ribosomal RNA", at positions 118 to 348 of the family's 1533-position model. The record is from RNAcentral.